AUCCAGCCGUCGAGUCCUAGAUAGGACGAAACGCGCGUCCUGGAU
Molecule: non-coding RNA, 45 nt
Organism: Schistosoma rodhaini
Lineage: Eukaryota; Metazoa; Platyhelminthes; Trematoda; Strigeidida; Schistosomatidae
Source: Rfam